AUGAAGUCUCGUUCAGUCACCUAGGCUGGAGUGCAGUGGCAUGAUCUCAGCUCCCUGCAACCUCUGCCUCCCGGGUUCAAGUGAUUCCCCUGCCUCGGCCUCCUGAGUGCCUGGGACUACAGCUGGCUGGAUUGUGGAUAUGAUGAGUAGUGCUUAAGCAGCCAUCUUGGGACCAUAAGGAAAAGCCACACAAUUAGGAAAGUGAAGCAGCCAUCGGGACAGACUUGAGGUCCCUGAUGAUCAUGGGGCUGCCAUAUCAGCGAGGACUGCCCACCUCUGGACCUCACGUCUAUUUCAUGGAAGCCAUUGUUAGCUAGUGUUUUCUAUCACAUACAGCCAACUCGAAUCCUAAUUGAUACACUGUCCCUGACUUCAAAGAGUUGAUAAAUUAGCAUGCGAAGAAAUACACAAGAUAAACAGCAUCAAAACAAUUAAAUUAAAAACCCUAGAAUUCAGCUGGGACAAACGUGGUGACUGGUAUAAGAUCAAGGCAGGUAGCUGGACAGCAGAGGGAAGAACUGCCUCUCUCAAGGCAAAAUGCGGACGUCAGAAAGGACAUCAGAGAAGAAGUGAUAUGCAAGCCAGGCUUUGAAGGAUGGGUGGAAUUUCUCCAGCAGGAAGAAAGAGAAUCUGGAAGUUUGACUGUUGCAUCUCCCUUGGCCUGACAUUGCUGACUGCACACUCGAGGUUCUGUUCAACACACUGCUCUGUCCUGUGAUCGUCCUGUGAAUUGCCAGCUGAAUCCAGAGACUGGCUCAGGCUCAGGAUUGAUCCCUUUGGUCAGACUGCAGGUAACAAGAGGAUUCAGAAUCUGAGAGAUACUGCUUAAAAGGAAAAUGUCCUGGAGGGAUGCCAAACUGCACUCUCAAAGGUUUCGGCUGGAUGUGUGAUAUUGAUGGGGAAACCCAUUUCAGUGUCUCUAAGAAGGGGGUAGUGCUCCUCUUUCCAGGAUGUCUCUGGGGAAUCUAGAGCACCCCAAAGUGUGGUAUGCAUAGAAACAUUGCUGCUUAAGGUCUGAAUAUUUGUUCCUCAUCAAUUCAUGUGUUGAAAUUCUAACCUCUCCUGAAUGGGAUUAGUGCUCUUACACGAGAGGCCUGACAGAGACUCCUCACCCUUCCCACCAUGCGAAGACACAGUGAGAAGGCUCAGUCUAUGAACCAAAAUGUUGACUGUCACCAUUUACUCAAUCUGCUGUCGCCUUGAGCUUGGACUUCCCAGCCUCCAGAACUGUGAGAAAUAAAUUUCUGUUGCUUAUAAGACAACCAGUUUAUGACAUUUCGUUAUAGCAGCCUGAAUGGACUAAGACACCCUUCCCACCAUGUGAAGACAGAGUGAGAAGGUUCGGUCUAUGAACCAAAAACUGACCCUCACCAGUCAUUGAAUCUGCUGGUGCCUUGAUCUUGGACUUCCCAGCCUCCAGAACUGUGAGAAAUAAAUUUCUGUCGUUUAUAAGCCACCUAGUUUAUGAUACUUUGUUAUAGCAGCCUGAAUGGACUGAGACACCCACCUUAAAAAGACAGUACCUCAAAACCAUAAGGCAGGAUAACUGCUAGCCUGAUAUUAAUAGUUUUUAAUUUACUGCUAGCUUCAUUUUGCCAACUGAGUCAGAUAUUUUUUAAAAGUUCUGUUUGCAAUUAUUUUAACUUAGGAGAGGAGAAAAAGAGCAGGCAUCAGCCUGCAUAUGGGAUAUUUCUGAAAGGAUUUUGCUAUGAUUAGCUUGCCCUCAGGGAGAGUAAAAUGUGAGUUAUACAACCAUGCUUAUAUUUAGAUGUUGUUGAUGUUCUGGCUUAUAAUAUAUGAUGAGUUAGAAAUAAUUUUGUACUGAUCAGCCCAACCAGAAAAUAAACAUGCUUUAACUUGUAUUUAUUACUAAACUUGGUCUCCUAAAACAUGAUAAAGCAGUUGAGUCUAUAAUGACUGAGCCAUAGCUUCUCUGACUGACUCUAAGAGGGAAUGACGUUAAUAAGAGAUUAGCCCAUACCUCUAAUAGCCCUGGGAGAGAUGAACCCAAGACGGCAAGGCCCAGCUCUGAUGGAUGAAGGGACAGAGAACUAUAAGAAGACUGGGUUCCAUCUAGGAUGGGUGGCCUGUUGAGUGCCCAUCUUAUCUGCUUAGAUGAUGAUACUUGGAGACCUGACUCAAUUGUUGUGAAUGGUCUUUGUAAAAUUUUAUUUUAGAGACAGGGUCUUGCUAUGUUGCCCAGGCUGGUCUCAAACACCUGGGCUCAAGUGAUCCUCCUGCCUCAGCCUCCUGAGUAGCUGGAACUGCAAGUGAUUACUCUUAUUGAACAAACAAACAAAAACAAGUGCCUGUGACCUAAUAGAGAUGCAUGCAUAUGUUCACCAAAAGAUCUAGAAUGUCCACAACAGCCCUAUUUAUCAUCACCCCAAAUGGGGCACCCUGCACCUACCUCAACAGUAGAUGCAUACAUUUCUGUGUAUUUACACUGUGGAAUAUGACACAGCAAUGACAAUGAAUGAACUACAGCUAUACACAACAACAUGGAUGGCUAUCACAAACAUAAGGUAGAGCUAAAAGCGAAAAAAACCAGCAUAAAAGUGGGCAAAAGCCAUCUAUGUUGUUAAAAAUCAGGAUAGUGGCUGCCCUGGAAGGGGGCAUGAGGAGGCUUCAAGGUGCUUGUCAUGUUCUCUUUCUUCACU
Molecule: long non-coding RNA, 2660 nt
Filed under: Homo sapiens (human)
Lineage: Eukaryota; Metazoa; Chordata; Mammalia; Primates; Hominidae
Description: HSALNT0050987
Source: RNAcentral